GACGAACGCUGGCGGCGUGCUUAACACAUGCAAGUCGAGCGGUAAGGCCCUUCGUAGGUACACGAGCGGCGAACGGGUGAGUAACACGUGGGUGACCUGCCCUCCAGCUCUGGGAUAAGCCUGGGAAACUGGGUCUAAUACUGGAUAUGACUCCACGGUGCAUGUCGUGGGUGGAAAGCCUUGUGCGGCUGAGGAUGGGCCCGCGGCCUAUCAGCUUGUUGGU
This 223-nucleotide ribosomal RNA is filed under the name uncultured bacterium. Its description in RNAcentral is "partial 16S ribosomal RNA". It matches the Rfam family "Bacterial small subunit ribosomal RNA", at positions 28 to 253 of the family's 1533-position model. The record is from RNAcentral.